This is a long non-coding RNA of Drosophila elegans, 422 nucleotides long. RefSeq lists it as uncharacterized. The record is from RefSeq and is a predicted model, not a curated record. The transcript is spliced from 2 exons. Lineage: Eukaryota; Metazoa; Arthropoda; Insecta; Diptera; Drosophilidae.
UAAUUCAGCUACACAAAGUUAGAUAUAUAUACAAUCGCUUUCCAAAUAAUGCCCGGAUUAACGAAACUAGAGCAAGCUAUCUAGACACACACAGACAGCCGCGAAGUAUACAAAUAAGUAACGAGCUCUCGAGGAAAAAUUUACCAAAAUAAAGCAUUAGAAAUUUGAAAAAAACAUCAUUCACCCGACUUUACUUAACAAAUUGUAGGCAUUGUGUUGAGAAAUUAAAACAUAUAUUAUGGCCUCAGUUAUUGUACAAAGGACUUACUUUUCAGUAAACAUACAUAAUGGUUUAUGAUUUUCCAAAUUGUGGCUGCCCAAUGUUGUUUUGCUUUGGACUUUUUAGGCAGUUCUUGGCGGCAGUAGACGGCGCUCCAUUUAAUCUAAUCUUGAGCAAAUAAAUGGCAUCAUACACAAGCAUA